GACGAACGCUGGCGGUGUGCUUAACACAUGCAAGUCGAACGGAAAGGCCCUGCUUUUGUGGGGUGCUCGAGUGGCGAACGGGUGAGUAACACGUGAGUAACCUGCCCUUGACUUUGGGAUAACUUCAGGAAACUGGGGCUAAUACCGGAUAGGAGCUCCUGCUGCAUGGUGGGGGUUGGAAAGUUUCGGCGGUUGGGGAUGGACUCGCGGCUCAUCAGCUUGUUGGUGGGGUAGUGGCUUACCAAGGCUUUGACGGGUAGCCGGCCUGAGAGGGUGACCGGCCACAUUGGGACUGAGAUACGGCCCAGACUCCUACGGGAGGCAGCAGUGGGGAAUAUUGCACAAUGGGCGGAAGCCUGAUGCAGCAACGCCGCGUGCGGGAUGACGGCCUUCGGGUUGUAAACCGCUUUCGCCUGUGACGAAGCGUGAGUGACGGUAAUGGGUAAAGAAGCACCGGCUAACUACGUG
This 468-nucleotide ribosomal RNA is filed under the name uncultured bacterium. Its description in RNAcentral is "partial 16S ribosomal RNA". It matches the Rfam family "Bacterial small subunit ribosomal RNA", at positions 28 to 507 of the family's 1533-position model. The record is from RNAcentral.